UAGGGAAUCUUCCACAAUGGACGCAAGUCUGAUGGAGCAACGCCGCGUGAGUGAAGAAGGUUUUCGGAUCGUAAAGCUCUGUUGUUGGUGAAGAAGGAUAGAGGCAGUAACUGGUCUUUAUUUGACGGUAAUCAACCAGAAAGUCACGGCUAACUACGUGCCAGCAGCCGCGGUAAUACGUAGGUGGCAAGCGUUGUCCGGAUUUAUUGGGCGUAAAGCGAGCGCAGGCGGAAUGAUAAGUCUGAUGUGAAAGCCCACGGCUCAACCGUGGAACUGCAUCGGAAACUGUCAUUCUUGAGUGAAGAAGAGGAGAGUGGAAGUCCAUGUGUAGCGGUGGAAUGCGUAGAUAUAUGGAAGAACGCCAGUGGCGAAGGCGGCUCUCUGGUCUGCAACUGACGCUGAGGCUCGAAAGCAUGGGUAGCGAACAGG
This 429-nucleotide ribosomal RNA is filed under the name bacterium. Its description in RNAcentral is "partial 16S ribosomal RNA". It matches the Rfam family "Bacterial small subunit ribosomal RNA", at positions 355 to 776 of the family's 1533-position model. The record is from RNAcentral.